CAGAAUCCUGUCUGAAAUCAGUUUCAUGAGGUGCCUUCAUGCCAAAACACUGCCUGUAAAGUCAUUGCCUGAUAAGGUAGCAAGGCAGCAAGUACGCUGUAUACACACUAAAAAAUCCUGGGUUAUUUUUUCUACCCAAAUGCUGGGUUGAGCCAUUUGGGUAAAUUUUUUGGGUUAUUUUUUCAGUCUUGGGUAGUUUUUGGGUAGUUCUAUGUAACCCAACCGCUGGGUUAUUUUCUGGGUCGUUUUCACUAAGAGCUGAAUCAAUGCACCCCUUCCCCCACUCGGACGCAUCAACCCAGCUCAUUGGGUCAAAUCAACUCAGCGCAGGUUCAGCGCAGCGCGGGCUGACUGAAUUCGAGGUGGAGGUGGAUGCCACACACACACACUGUAAUAUUUGGAGAAAUAAGAAAACCACCUUUUUGUACACGUACGGUCAAAGCUGCCCAUCCCCCAUCCUACUGCAUGCAGUGCUGAGUCAAAAACAACCCAAUUACUGGGUCAUCUGUCGCGGGCAUUUUGGAUCGUUAGCAGGAGGAAUUCUACGGUGCACUUUUCAAGCAGACUGACUUCAGCGUUUUUUAUUCUGGUGAAAUAAAGACCUGCUCUCGACUGUCCGUGGUGGCAAACCCACAGCCUUUCGCUCGAGGUGACACUUUUAUCUCAUCUAAUUUGAAUUAUUGCCAUACAUAGAUAAUAAAAUUGCCAUAAACCAUUAAAAAUCAGCUGUUACUAUUAUUAAAAAGAUCCGGUACUGUGGCUAUACCCUUUAGGGUGCUUUCACAUCUCUAGUUCGGUUCAUUUGGUCCGAACCAAGGGCAAACAAUUAUACAUUGUAGCAUUUUUCAGCUAUUUUGGUUCCUUUUCACACCACACUGAUUGCUUUGGUCCGAACCAGUUGAAACGAACCAAAAUGCAGUCACAUGACAACAUCCACAUCACUCAUUGGUCAUGACGUAUUUCCUAAACUGCUUUUCGAUUGGUCAGAAUUUACGUGCGGGAAAAAUUCCAACAUAAGAGGAAAAAGCCAGCAAACAACACGGAGACAACACAACUAUGGAGAGACGACUGUGCGGGCUGGUUUUGUCCCUGGCCAUAAUCUAUUACAUUGUUUGUAUACACCAGAAUAUGCAAACAAUACAUUUUUAUAAUGAAGUGCGGAUGCGGCUUGAAAACAACGUUCUGAUGCACUGCAAACGACGAGCGGGCAUCGCUCGUAACUUCAAGCGGAGGCGUGCAUUAAUCCACGAGCUGCCAUGCUAAAGUACAAACUGUCAACAAACACUUCCUCAUCCCAUAAUACACAGCGCAGCUGACUACGGCAGCUGGUUUAGUCCAAAAAAAUGAUCAGUACUUUUUUUGCAGUUGGGUCUGUUCGAGGUCGGAUCACGUUCUCACCACAAACGAACCGCUCCAGAGUUCGCUUUGAAAGCGUACCGAGACCACCUCUUCAAGCAGGUCUCGGUACGCUUGUUUGGUCCGCCUUUGGUGCGCACCCGAGUACGAUUGCUGCUUUCACACCUGCCCAAACGAACCGCACCAAAGGGGGGGAAACGAACUCUGGUACGAUUCAACCGAACUAAAUGAGGCAGGUGUAAAAGCACCCUUAGUUAAGACCGACCAGUAGCGAACCAUGACUCUUGAGGUUUGGCCCUCUCCCGCUAACUUACCCUCAUUGCGGGAAAAACAAACUAAAGUUACUAGCCUAGCUUACAGGGUCCUCUUCUAAAACAAUUCUAUCUUUGAAAUAAGAUGCUACUCCAGGCUUAAGGCGGUCGCACACUGGACGACAAGUGCAGCGCUGCACCGCGCCGCACCUCAUCUGUAAAAUUUGCACAAAUAGUUUUUUAUGAGUGAAUUGCACACCGGCGACUGUCCGCGGAUCCCAGCUGCGACUUUGGGCGCUGUUAAAAAUAUCCUGCCGCGCAGAGCGCCUCAGCGCCACUCACAUAAUUUUUACAUUACAUUACAUUACAUUUGUCCCAAAUUAUUGUUAAUGAACGUAAUGACUUCAUCCUAGAUUGGAAUAUUAUGUAUUGUGCGUUUUUCAGCAAAACGUUUCUCUUUUUGUGACUCUAAAUUUCGUGCUUCAUAUAGAGAGCUAAUAGAUGGCAAUCUCGCACCCUACGUCAUAAUUUCGAUUUGUCGACUCAUAAAUACUAACUUCCCAGGAGGGCUUGAAUGCACCAUAAAAACCACUGGUCUAAGAACAUUAUUUGACAAAUUAUUAAUUAUUAGUCAUAAAUUAUUAUUUGACAUAACGAUUUAUAAAUUGUUAAAAUAUUGGUAUCCGGAACGCUGCGAUCUCGAAGACUACAGUGUACACCGUGAGUUUUUUUAAAAAGCUUAUUUUUCAUACGAAUAAAUAGUACUCAUAAAUGUCUGUUGAGACUUGAAACAAGUGGAUGCUUGGACCCAGAAACAGCAUUCCUGAUGUCAUGACAGCAUUUGUCAUCACCAGCUGUCACUAGGUAAACCUUCAGUAAUUCACUAAUAUCAAAGUCACUUUCAGGCAUAUAUAUCUAAAGUCUUUGCUACUAUGCCUUCAAUGUUCACAUGAAAAUGGAAAUUUUGUCAUCAGUUACUCACCCUCUUGUAUGUACACCAUUUAAUUGAAUGAUUUUAAAAAAUGAUUUUAAAUCUGAUUAUGGGGUUUAAACUAAAGCAAUUCAGUUUUUUGAAGAUCAAAUACCCGUAAUUUAAAUAUUUCUUUGACUAUGAGGGAUAGUUUACCUCAAAAUAAGUUUCAACUAACUAAAAUGUAUGUCACUCAAAAAUUGCUUGACUUUCUUUUGUGGGACACUGAAUGGAGAAAUGAUGGUUGAAUAAUGCAUCAGAAAUAAAACUGUCUGCUGUAAGUGAAGGUCUGUGUUUUUGUGUUUUAGGUGGUCUGAUUAUGCAUGGAUGGAUUGCUUUGUUCAGGAGAAGUUAACUGAAUGGCAGCUUCCAGAACUUGUUAAUAGUUUUGAAGGUAAGUUUCCCUGUUAUUUCCUGUUAUGUCCUAUAUGUCCUGUCCUUUCACCAUCCAAUAAAGCCAUACAGGCCAUACACUAUUCUUAAAUUAUACCAUACUCUGUCUGAAUACUUAAUUCUGAUUAGCUGCAAGUUGUGGCAUAAAUCUGUUUAAUGCACAGGUAGUUCAAUCUCAGUUUAUUCACAGUUGUAUAUAAAUAAUGUUUCACUGAAACACGCAUACGUCAUUUGCACAUAGAGAUCUGAGAUCACCCUGUACACACACAUACAAUCAUUCAGUACAGAAACUUAUCAGCACUGCCCCAGGACUUGUGUUAGUAAAAUCACUAUACUACUGUAAGUAAGUUGAAGUAAUUAAAUGCACAGCUUUUUUUUUUAAAGACAGUAAUGCUGCACACAGAUGCAAGUUAUUUAUAGAUACAGGUAU
This is a long non-coding RNA of Cyprinus carpio carpio, 3400 nucleotides long. NCBI's taxonomy places the organism in Eukaryota, Metazoa, Chordata, Actinopteri, Cypriniformes, Cyprinidae. The record is from Ensembl.